Odontomachus brunneus is the source of this 485-nucleotide long non-coding RNA. RefSeq lists it as uncharacterized. Lineage: Eukaryota; Metazoa; Arthropoda; Insecta; Hymenoptera; Formicidae. The transcript is spliced from 2 exons. The record is from RefSeq and is a predicted model, not a curated record.
CUUGUGUUACACCUUGCCAACUCAUUGCUACAAAUACGCUCAAUAAACAUCUUAAUUGAAUUCCCAACUGAAAGAUAGAAAGGUAUACAACAUUACGAUGCUUGUUAACUGAUGCCAACUCAUUACGAUACUCUAACGCUGCUUUACAGGUACAAUUUUGGAAACGUAUGAAUCAAGAAUUACUUUAUUUUCCAUUCAACAAACUAUCAAAAUAUGGUUACAGCAUCCUGGAGAUAAAAUUAAUACCGCUGAAAAAAAACAAACAAAAGUAACACAGUCGUGAUGUCGAAGAAGAAUUGUAUUUCACAGUAUUAUUAUUUUUAUAGAAGUUAUAGCUUAUAUUGUAUUUUUUCUAUUUCUCGUAGUCAAGAAAUUUUAUCGAAACAUGUUACGAUAGUUUAGAUAUUUUAACUCCUCAGAAGUGGAGUUGCAAUAUGUGUACAAUAGUUUUUGCAAAGUGAAAAUAAUAAAAACUAUUGAAUAAA